RNAcentral lists this ribosomal RNA (425 nucleotides) under uncultured Myxococcales bacterium. RNAcentral describes it as "bacterial SSU rRNA". It matches the Rfam family "Bacterial small subunit ribosomal RNA", at positions 355 to 776 of the family's 1533-position model. Lineage: Bacteria; Pseudomonadati; Myxococcota; Myxococcia; Myxococcales. The record is from RNAcentral.
UGGGGAAUAUUGGACAAUGGGCGAAAGCCUGAUCCAGCAAUGCCGCGUGAGUGAUGAAGGCCUUCGGGUUGUAAAGCUCUGUCGGGAGGGACGAAUGGUGCCGGGUAACUCCGGUAAUUGACGGUACCUCCAAAGGAAGCACCGGCUAACUCUGUGCCAGCAGCCGCGGUAAUACAGAGGGUGCAAGCGUUGUUCGGAAUUACUGGGCGUAAAGCGCGUGUAGGCGGCGUCAUAAGUCGGAUGUGAAAGCCCUCGGCUCAACCGAGGAAGUGCAUCCGAUACUGUGGUGCUUGAGUGUCGGAGGGGGUGGCGGAAUUCCCGGUGUAGAGGUGAAAUUCGUAGAUAUCGGGAGGAACACCUGUGGCGAAGGCGGCCACCUGGACGACAACUGACGCUGAGACGCGAAAGCGUGGGUAGCAAACAGG